GUCAUCUGCAAACACUGAAACAUGGCUUUCAAUGCCUAUUUCAAGAUCAUUUAUAAAUAUAUUAAAUAGAAGCGGUCCCAAAACAGAACCCUGAGGGACACCACUUUUGUCCAGCCUGAAAAUGUACCAUUAAUGACAACUCGUUGUACUCUAUCCUUAAGCCAAUGUUCUACCCAAGAAUAAGAAGGAUCAUCUAGACCAAUUUCUUUUAGUUUGAAGACUAACCUAUUGUGAGGAACCGUAUCAAAUGCCUUGGCAAAAUCCAAGUAGAUCACAUCCACUGCAACACCCUAAUCUAUACUUCUACUUACUUCUUCGUAGAAUGCAAUUAGGUUCGUUUGACAUGACCUAUGUUUCAUAAAACCAUGCUGAUUAUUGCUAAUAACAAAGUUCUUCCCAAUAAAUUCCGGAAUAUUAUCCCUUAAUAGCCCUUCAAAUAUUUUGUCAGUCACAGAAGUUAAGCUCACAGGUCUAUAAUUUCCAGGCAAGGAUUUUGAACCCUUUUUAAAUAUAGGAACAACAUCUGCCUUCCUCCAAUCCUCCGUUACAAUACCUGAUGUGACGACUAACUUCGGCAGCACAUAUACUAAAAUCAGAUACGCGACGGCACGAACACCGCUGAACUUCUACCUUCUAUGUGACUUUGACGUUCGACUAUAUGAACGCCACAUUAACCUUGCCUAUUUGCACGAACGGCCUCUGUUUGUGCAUUUGAACAGUAUUUAACUAUGGUGAAUAGACCGGCCGCACAGCCCAAAUCUGUGAAACUGUUUUGAGCAUGAAAAUGUGGGGCGGUCAAAGGAGACUUCCAGCUAUCUCCCGAACCACUGGACCAAUUCAUAUGAUUUUGGGAUAUGUUUGUUCCCUAAUUAUGCUGGUUCAGAAAAUGUAACUUUUAUUGGAAUGUGAUGUAUAAUUUAGCAGUUAUAGAUAAUGUGUAAAAAGUAUAUUUUUCGCUUGGAGAUAGUUGAGAUGAUACAGCAAUUAACUCAAUUAUCUCCCAAGCAGAGGGGAGGAAUUUACUGUAAUGAAUGGGAGUGUUUAUCUGUGUGACUGUAAACUAUUGGUUGUUGAGUUUGUCUUUUCAGUGCCUAACAAGGUCCACAUGGGUGGUAACCUUGUGGGGAAAUGUGUAUAUAAGAAGCAAUAAAGCCUCAGUGCAUUCUGUUCCU
Pelobates cultripes (western spadefoot toad) is the source of this 1172-nucleotide non-coding RNA. The record is from the annotation of a GenBank genome assembly. Lineage: Eukaryota; Metazoa; Chordata; Amphibia; Anura; Pelobatidae.